AGAGAUAUUUGAACUCGGAAUUGCUAGUAAAUUUUAUUGAAUAAGUAGAAUUGAAUGUGUCCCUGUUCUUUGUACACACCGCCCGUCGCUAUCUAAGAUGAUAUAUGCUGUGAAAUUAGUGCAAACUACUUGAACAAUAUGUAUUAGAUCUGAUAUAAGUCGUAAUAUGGUUGCUG
This 176-nucleotide ribosomal RNA is filed under the name Vairimorpha bombi. Its description in RNAcentral is "Nosema bombi partial small subunit ribosomal RNA". It matches the Rfam family "Microsporidia small subunit ribosomal RNA", at positions 1114 to 1285 of the family's 1311-position model. The record is from RNAcentral. Lineage: Eukaryota; Fungi; Microsporidia; Nosematidae.